UGAGGUGAGGGUGAUCUGGCUGCGACACGUGUCACCCCAUUGAUCGCCAGGGUGGACUCCCCUGAUCUGGCUGGCGGGCGGGUGUCCCCUUCCUCCCUCACCACUCCAUGUGUGUCCCUCCCAAAGCUGUGCACUCAUCGAAGAGGACGACCACCCCCGACAGAGGAUAGAGGAGGACCCUUUCCUUGGUCAAAGGUAUGCGAGGAGCUGCACUCCCCUGCUAGAACCUCCAAACAAGCUCUCAAGAUCACAGUGAGCCUCAACUCCUAUGCUGAGCGUGUCCUUUAACUUUUGUGUCAGGAACAUCCCCCUGCCAUUUAAA
Molecule: non-coding RNA, 322 nt
Organism: Heterocephalus glaber (naked mole-rat)
Lineage: Eukaryota; Metazoa; Chordata; Mammalia; Rodentia; Bathyergidae
Source: Rfam